Molecule: ribosomal RNA, 253 nt
Filed under: uncultured bacterium
Lineage: Bacteria
Description: partial 16S ribosomal RNA
Rfam family: Bacterial small subunit ribosomal RNA
Source: RNAcentral
UACAGAGGCCCCAAGCGUUACUGAGAAUCACUGGGCUUAAAGGGUGCGUAGGUGGCGCGUUAAGUUCGUUGUGAAAUCCCUGGGCUCAACCCAGGAAUUGCUUCGAAUACUGGCGUGCUUGAGGCUAGUAGGGGUCACUGGAACUGACGGUGGAGCGGUGAAAUGCGUAGAUAUCGUCAGGAACGCCGAUGGUGAAGACAGGUGACUGGGCUAGUUCUGACACUGAGGCACGAAAGCGUGGGGAGCGAACGGG